UAUCUAGUCUUACCAAGAGAAGGCAAGAAGGACAUUAUAUUAUUUAUCAAAGGGUCAAUUCACCAAAAAGAUAUAACAAUUUUGUAAACAAAUAACGUCAGACCUCAAAAUAUCAAUAUAUGAAGCAAACAUUGACCCUAAUCUCUGGUAGAAAACCCCAGAGAUUACUGACAUGUGCAUGUCUGCACAUGCACACAGACACACACACAUGCACACACAGCUAAUUCAGGGAAGUUGCUAAUAAACCAAGACAGUUGCAGGAUCCAAAUUAAGACACAAAAAUCAGUUGCUUUUCUGUACACUAGAACAAUGAAUGAUCCAAAAGGAAAUUAAGAAAACAAUUCCAUUUACAUAGCAUCAGAAAAUAAGUAGAUAAAACACUUAGGAAUAAAUUUAACCAAGAAGGGAAAGAUUUGUGCACUGAAAACUACAAAGCAUUGCUGAAAGGAAUUAAAGAAGACAAAAAUAAAUGGAAAGACAUCUUAUGUUAACGGACUGGAAGACCCAAUAUUAUUAAGAUGACAGUACUACUCAAAGUGAAAUACAGGUUCAAUACAAACUCUAUCAAAAUCCCAGCAACAUUUUUUGCAGAAAUGGAAAGACUAAUCCUAAAGUUAGUUUGGAAUCUCAUAGGACUCCAAAUAGCCAAAACAAUCUUAAAAAAAAAAAUUGGAGGACUCACACCUGAUUUCAAAACUUACUACAAAGAUAAUAGUAAUCUAAACACUGUGGUACUGACAUAAGGACACAUAGAGAACAGGAUUGAGAGCCUAGAAAUAAGUCCUCAUUUAUGUGGCCAAUCUGUUUUUGACAAGGGAGCAAAAAUCAUUCAGUGGCAGAAAGGCAAGUCAACAAAUGGUACUGGGAAACUGUAUAUCUACAUGCAAAAGAAUGAAGCUGGACCCUUAUGCCACACACAAAAAUAAACUCAAAAUAGAUUGAAGACCUACAUGUAAGAUCUAAAACCAUAAAACUCUUGCAAGACAACACAGGGAAAAAUCUUCAUGACAUUGGGUUUGGCAACUGGAUAUGACAGCAAAAACACAGAUGGUAAAAGGAAAAAUAUUAGGUAAAUUGGACUUAAUCAAAAUUUAAAACUUUUGUGCAUAAUAGGACACUAUCAACAGAGUGAAAAGGCAACUCACAGAAUGGAGAAAAUAUUUGCAAAUCACGUAUCUAAUAAGGGAUUCAUAUCCAGAUUAUAUAGAGAACUUCUAAAGGUCAACAACAACAACGUAAGCUGAUUAUAAUAUGAAAAAAGGACUUGAAUAGUUAUUUUCCAAAGAAGAUGAACAAAUAGAAAAUAAGCACAUAAGCUGGCAAGCACCGUUGUGGAAUCCUCCCUCUAGCUUAUUAGCUCUAGAACCCAGCCUUACCCUGGCCCAACAGCCUGUAGAUGCCAUUGCUGGGAAACCUCAAUGGUUUGAGGCAACUUGACUGGGCAAGGACAUGGACUCACACAUUAGCAGACAGGCUGCCUUAAGAACCACUGAAGCCAUGGCCCCCUCUGGACAUGACCCUGCCGAUCAAGUGGCCCAGAACCCAACGCCACCGACCAGUGGCCAGGUACCAGCCCUAAAAUCCCCUGGGCCCCAGCUCUGCCUUCCAGGGCCUGCUUUAGCCUCUGGACCAGCCUCGCCUACCACAGGGCAGAUACCAGAUGCAAGAAAACCAGAAUCCUGCAGCCUGUGAACCCAGCCUGCCCGUCAGCAGGCCAGACCCUGCCCUGACCCAGCUGGGCCCUGUCCUGCCAACGAGCAAGCCAACACAAGCUUUGGGACACCCAGAACCCUUACCCAACUGUGUCAGGAACCACUGCCCCCUCCACCACCAGUGAUCUGGCAUCAGCUCUGGGACUCCUGGGCCAUGCAACCAGACUCCAGGACCUGGCUUUGCCCACCAGUAGGCUGGCACUAACCCCUGGCUUCACCAAACAGUGGAUGAGCAACAGCCCCAGAGCCUUCUGGACCCUGACGCCACCCACCAGUGAGCCACACUAGCCCUGAGGUCCCCUGGGGUUCUGCAGUCAGCCACUUCAUGACCCAGUCCUUCAACCUGCAGCUGGCAGGCUUUUCACAAGGCAGGGCCUGGCAACCAACCAGACUGGGUGCAAACCAAGCCUAGCAGACCACCCAGAUGCCCACCAUGAUAGAAAGACCCACGCAGCCCUCAUAAGGGGAACCCCUAGAGGAUAUAACUUGGGUGACAAUAGAGGAGUCUGCUGUUGGGACCCAUAAGACAUCUCCUACAAAAGGCCACUUCUCCAAUGUCAGAAAACAUAACCAAUCUACCAGAUAGAUUAAAAUAUAAACAGUAACUUAGGCAAAAUGAGUCAACAUAGGAAUAUAUUCUAGACGAAGGAACAAGAUAAAACCCUAGAAGAACUAAGUGAAGUGAAGAUAGGCAAUCUACCCAAGAAAGAAUGCAGAGUCGUGAUUGUAAAGAUGAUCAAAUAACUUGAGAGAAAAUGAAGUUAGAAAUUUUUAACAAAAAAUUAGAAAAUAUGAAGAACAACGAAACAGAGAUGAAGAAUAAAAUAACUG
Phocoena sinus (vaquita) is the source of this 2543-nucleotide long non-coding RNA. Lineage: Eukaryota; Metazoa; Chordata; Mammalia; Artiodactyla; Phocoenidae. The record is from Ensembl.